AGUACUAAAUUGAUCAGUGCAGAGUAUGGAAGAAAGUGAUAUUGCGUAAUUUUCUGUGAUUUAUCUAAAGUGAUUUAUUAGUGUUAAUUAGUCAAUUUUUGUUCCAUUUAAUCAAGUGAAAUUAUAAAUAAGUGGCUUAAGGAACACAUUGAACUUGAAAUUGCCGAUAAUUUGGACAAUAUUUCAGUGGCAGAAGAAUUUUCCCUUCUGUGUGAAUGGGGGUUUUCAGUGGAAAUUGCGCAGAGAUUUCUCGAUUUGGAAAUCGACGAGUGUUCUGAAUUUUAUGACGGAAAGCGACAUCAAGGAAAUAUUCCAAAACGGUCUAAAAAUUAAGCUAAAAUUUCAAGCUAAACUAGGCGAAUGGAGAAGGCAAACGUAAGAGUCUGAAAAAAGUAAUUCAGAAGAUCUCCCAGUAAAUGUGCAGGCAUCAUUGUCAACAAAACUGAAAAAGGACGAUAUUUUAGAAAUGAUUCUUAAAACUGAAUUCAAUACCGAAGAUUAGGUCAGAGAAAAAGCAACAAAAAAUAUUUGUGCAAAAAAAAACUUAUUUCCAAUUUCAAGAAAAAAACCGAUUUAAAAUUAUCUGACAAAAAUAAAUUUAUAUUUUACUGGGAGAUAUGCCAUUAUAUUUUGUAAAUGUUAUUCAAAAAGUAAAAAUGUGAAUUUUAAAAGAAAAGAGUUUCAAAAAAAUUAUGUUUUUCACAUAGCGUCUAAACUAAAAGAUACGAUGAAGAAUGGAUAGUUUUUUCGACUUUAUUGGAUCUUAAUUAUCUUAGAAAACAUUUUUUUACAACUUUUUUCGCAUAUUAAAGUGUUUGCGACUGUAUAAAAGAACUUAAAAUCAAAAUAUCAUAAAACAAAAAUAUGACUGAGGUAUAAAAUAUCACGAAAAUAAAUCAAGAACUGUGGUGUAAAAGACUGCAAAUAGGCAAGUGAAAAACUAAUGGAAAUGUAAAAAUAUUUUAAGUAUAAAAAAUAUGUGAUAGAAAAAAUAUUCAUUUAAAAAAAAUAAUGUGGUAUCAUUUACUGUAAAUAUUAUUCUAAAAAUUCUUCAAUUAAAAAUAUUUAUCAGAGAUGCAAAA
This is a long non-coding RNA of Phlebotomus papatasi, 1082 nucleotides long. RefSeq lists it as uncharacterized. NCBI's taxonomy places the organism in Eukaryota, Metazoa, Arthropoda, Insecta, Diptera, Psychodidae. The record is from RefSeq and is a predicted model, not a curated record. The transcript is spliced from 2 exons.